Molecule: long non-coding RNA, 2435 nt
Organism: Anarrhichthys ocellatus (wolf-eel)
Lineage: Eukaryota; Metazoa; Chordata; Actinopteri; Perciformes; Anarhichadidae
Exons: 4
Source: RefSeq, a predicted model, not a curated record
UCAGUUGAGAAAACAGCGGACGUAUAGACAGGUAACAUACAUGAAAAUGAUCCGUCUCCAUCCAAACUAAAUUUUAAAAUGUAUAAAGUUUCUGACCUCUUGAAAUGUUAUUUGAAGCGUAUAGUUGUGAUGAAAUGGCGGUAUUGUUGUUGAAAUUGUAUUUCUAAUCGUCUAAAGUCGGGGAAAUGCGGGCGGUGCUACUUCUGCUAGUUUUAUCACAAACGCCAGUUUUUAAACAGCCGUUACUUAUUUUCUGUUUAAUGGAACGAAGACGUGUUUUUAACGUCAAACAUCAAGAUGUCGAGGUAGACAAAUAUAUAUACAUUUUAAAAUGUAGAGAUAUUUUGACCACUUGGUACUAAUGCAUCUCCCAGCCCGUAGGAAUGCAUUGCAUCGUGAUGAGCACGGUACGUGUGCUGUCACAGGAAACAUGCAAACGCUUAGUUCUAAACUUUCGACAGUUUUCUGUGUAAUGUGAACUGUGCAGACCUUAUCCAGCGAGGCCCAGCCUGCAGUGGCUAUGUCCUUUCCUGUAGUGUCUGCUAGAGAGACCUGAGGCCGUUUGAGGCCCUGCUGUGGCUCCUCAAGGCAGGGUUAUAGGUAAACCUCAGACAACCUGUUCACUGGAAGCAUCCGGUUAUUGUGUAAAGUGAGCUAUCGCACGUUUGAUUCUGUUUUCAUUCCGUUUUCUUAGUUGUGAACACCUUGAUGGGAGAAUUCCAUGAAGCAGCGAGGAGACCAUGUGAGGAGACCAUGUGCCACGAGGAGACCAUGUGCCACGAGGAGACGAGUCUGCAGGACUGCAGAGAUGAAGACCUGCUCAGACCUCCUGACUUGACAUCUGCUGCUCAAGGAUGACUUUGAGCUGAAAAAAUUGUGAACACCUUGAUGGGAGAAUUCCCACUGCAGAGAUGAAGCUCAGACCUCCUGACUGGACAUCUGCUGCUCAAGGAUGACUUUGAGCUGAAAAAGUAAGUUUAGUUUAUAUAAUGUACAGACAACACCUGGCCUGAAAUGAGCCGUUAGUCAUGUUACUGCGACAUUGCUUUGGACGCGUGCAGACCUUAUCCAGCGAGGCUCAGCCUGCAGUGGCUCUGUUCUUUCCUUUAGUGUCUGCUAGAGAGACGUGAGGUUGUUUGAGGCCUGGCUGUGAUUCUUCACGGCGGGGUUAUAGGUAAACUUCCAACAUUUAUCGUCUUGGGUUUUCGAGCUGGACGACGUGUUUGGCGUGCUGCUUCAGUGUCGUCUAUUGACUCGACUUAAAUCCAUUUCUUUGCUUUUACAGGAGCGGGAGAUUCAGAGAGUUUCACAGCUUCCAGCCGGCCUCACUGAGCAGAGUUUACCAGUGACCAUGUGGAUCCAUGUUGUGGCUCCUCAUUGAACCUGCAAACUAAAGAGCGGUCACAAACAUGACGGGACUUUGAAGCAGAUUUCAUCUGAGUUGGAGAACCAGUUCAUCUGCUGAGGUCACACUUGUACUUGUACAUUUGCAGUAAAGUUAAUUUCUGUUCUACUUGUGCACCGGACAUGGGGCGACAGCCUUCUCCAUAGCUGCCCUCUCCCUCUGGAACUCUCUCACCAAACGCAUCCCAGACAGCACCGAUCUUUCCAUGUUCAAAUCAAAACUCACCUUUUCACAACUGCUUUUAAUGUGUUCUAUGUUUUUAGUGUAUAUCUUUUUAUGAUUUUUUUUUUUUUUAAAUGUUUAUAAAGUGUCUGAGUAUCCUGAAAAGUGCUCUAUAACUAAAAUGUAUUAGUCCAAAAUCAAUAAAGGAACAUAUUCUCAGAAUGUCUCACCUGGUCUUCUAUAAAAGUUAGAUCUUGUGCACCGUUUUGUGUAAUGAGUGGGUUAGUUUAGCUACUGAACAGUUCAUGUUUGAGUGGUCUGAAGAAUGGAAUUGGUGUCUCUUUCGUUAGAGUAUCCAGUCUCUGGCCAGGAUGAUUACGUCUGUAUUGAUUGUGAUUGCUGGUUGUCUCCUGACUGGUCGCUGGUGGUGUCGGACGGCAUUUUGGACCAGAGCAACGCAGCAAGGUCGAGGCUGAGUUGAGUUCCACCGGGGUUCACUUAUCCAACCAGAUUAACAGACUAACCGUGAUGAUGGUACGGGAGAAAGACGAGUGGGUCACAGGCCCUAUUACCAUCGUAGAACACCGUACAGCGCGAUGGAGGGGGGCUGGGCACACAAGUUAUUAAAGAACAUUAGGGUCAAAUGACUUGGUGCUUAGCAUGUGUUGUCUGUGUUCUUUAUGGGUCAAACUUUGUUUCAAUAAUUCUUGGAUAGUGUGUAAAAUUAAACAAAUGCAACCAUGCACCAUCAUUUUGGCUAUAUUUGUAGUAAGGAUUUAGUUUAAAAGUAUAAUCCUGAAACUGGAAAGGUUUAAUGCGAACACGAUGCAUUAACGUCAUCUUUCAAUUAGAUGACAAAUGCAGCUUU